CCUANGGGCGGCAGCAGUGGGGAAUUGUUCGCAAUGGGCGCAAGCCUGACGACGCAACGCCGCGUGGAGGAUGAAGGUCUUCGGAUCGUAAACUCCUGUUGAUCGGGACGAAAAGCUUCAACCUAAUACGUUGAAGACUGACGGUACCGGUUGAGGAAGCCACGGCUAACUCUGUGCCAGCAGCCGCGGUAAUACAGAGGUGGCAAGCGUUGUUCGGAAUUACUGGGCGUAAAGGGCGCGUAGGCGGCCUUCUAAGUCGGACGUGAAAGCCCCAGGCUUAACCUGGGAACUGCGUCCGAUACUGGGAGGCUUGGAUUCGGGAGAGGGAUGUGGAAUUCCAGGUGUAGCGGUGAAAUGCGUAGAUAUCUGGAGGAACACCGGUGGCGAAGGCGGCAUCCUGGACCGAGAUCGACGCUGAGGCGCGAAAGCUAGGGGAGCAAACGGGAUUAGAUACCCCANUANUC
This 464-nucleotide ribosomal RNA is filed under the name uncultured bacterium. RNAcentral describes it as "bacterial SSU rRNA". It matches the Rfam family "Bacterial small subunit ribosomal RNA", at positions 338 to 795 of the family's 1533-position model. The record is from RNAcentral.